UACCAGCACCCCGAGUGGUCGGGACGAUUAUUGGGCCUAAAGCAUCCGUAGCCGGUCCUGCAAGUCUUCCGUUAAAUCCAGCUGCUCAACAGAUGGGCUGCGGGGGAUACUACAGGGCUAGGAGGCGGGAGAGGCAAGCGGUACUUUAUGGGUAGGGGUAAAAUCCGUUGAUCCAUAGAAGACCACCAGUGGCAAAGUCGGCUUGCCAGAGCGCGCUCGACGGUGAGGGAUGAAAGCUGGGGGAGCAAUCCGG
RNAcentral lists this ribosomal RNA (253 nucleotides) under uncultured bacterium. RNAcentral describes it as "partial 16S ribosomal RNA". It matches the Rfam family "Archaeal small subunit ribosomal RNA", at positions 474 to 727 of the family's 1478-position model. The record is from RNAcentral.